ACAACCUCACUUGGUUUUGUUUGUGCUUUGUUUUUUAAUAUUUUUUUUCAUAGAUUUUUUUUUAUUUUAUCCUUCUAUAUUUUUAUUAUAGGGGAUUGACUAUCAUUAUUUUUUAGCUCUCUUUCUAUGGUGUCAAGUCAUGGAUUUUUUUUUUGUUCUUUAAAAUCCAAUAAUAGUGUUUGGGCAUUGUUUUUUUACGCGGCAAAAAAAAUUGGCCCGGCCCACAGUAAAAUGCAAGCUAUCU
Molecule: long non-coding RNA, 244 nt
Filed under: Populus trichocarpa (black cottonwood)
Lineage: Eukaryota; Viridiplantae; Streptophyta; Magnoliopsida; Malpighiales; Salicaceae
Description: long non-coding RNA (PTRI_LNC000515)
Source: RNAcentral